This 62-nucleotide transfer RNA is filed under the name Kotorella pronosoma. RNAcentral describes it as "tRNA-Lys". Lineage: Eukaryota; Metazoa; Platyhelminthes; Cestoda; Trypanorhyncha; Tentaculariidae. The record is from RNAcentral.
CUCGGUAUAGCUAAUUUAAAGUACAGGAUUCUUACUCCUGUGAUGUGUUUACACUGCCGGGU